UACAGAGGGGGCAAGCGUUGUUCGGAAUUACUGGGCGUAAAGGGCGCGUAGGCGGCCUGUUAAGUCGAACGUGAAAUCCCCGGGCUCAACCCGGGAACUGCGUCCGAUACUGGCAGGCUUGAAUUCGGGAGAGGGAUGUGGAAUUCCAGGUGUAGCGGUGAAAUGCGGUAGAAUAUCUGGAGGAACACCGGGUGGCGGAAAGGGCAGGC
RNAcentral lists this ribosomal RNA (209 nucleotides) under uncultured bacterium. RNAcentral's name for it is "partial 16S ribosomal RNA". It matches the Rfam family "Bacterial small subunit ribosomal RNA", at positions 524 to 729 of the family's 1533-position model. The record is from RNAcentral.